UGGGGAAUAUUGCACAAUGGGGGAAACCCUGAUGCAGCGACGCCGCGUGAGUGAAGAAGUAUUUCGGUAUGUAAAGCUCUAUCAGCAGGGAAGAUAAUGACGGUACCUGACUAAGAAGCCCCGGCUAACUACGUGCCAGCAGCCGCGGUAAUACGUAGGGGGCAAGCGUUAUCCGGAUUUACUGGGUGUAAAGGGUGCGUAGGUGGCAAGGCAAGUCAGAUGUGAAAGCCCGGGGCUCAACCCCGGUACUGCAUUUGAAACUGUCUAGCUAGAGUGCAGGAGAGGUAAGCGGAAUUCCUAGUGUAGCGGUGAAAUGCGUAGAUAUUAGGAGGAACACCAGUGGCGAAGGCGGCUUACUGGACUGUAACUGACACUGAGGCACGAAAGCGUGGGGAGCAAACA
RNAcentral lists this ribosomal RNA (402 nucleotides) under uncultured bacterium. RNAcentral's name for it is "bacterial SSU rRNA". It matches the Rfam family "Bacterial small subunit ribosomal RNA", at positions 355 to 774 of the family's 1533-position model. The record is from RNAcentral.